This 253-nucleotide ribosomal RNA is filed under the name uncultured bacterium. RNAcentral describes it as "partial 16S ribosomal RNA". It matches the Rfam family "Bacterial small subunit ribosomal RNA", at positions 524 to 776 of the family's 1533-position model. The record is from RNAcentral.
UACGUAGGUGGCGAGCGUUGUCCGGAAUUACUGGGUGUAAAGGGCGUGUAGGCGGGAAUGUAAGUCAGAUGUGAAAUACCGGAGCUUAACUUCGGGGCUGCAUCUGAAACUAUGUUUCUUGAGUGUCGGAGAGGAAAGCGGAAUUCCCAGUGUAGCGGUGAAAUGCGUAGAUAUUGGGAGGAACACCAGUGGCGAAGGCGGCUUUCUGGACGAUAACUGACGCUGAGGCGCGAAAGCGUGGGGAGCAAACAGG